GAAGGCAUAUGCAGAGCAUGCGGUAUCGACAGGGAUGACUGUAAUGUUCUUCUGUGUGAUAGAUGUGAUUCUGGUUACCAUACAUACUGCCUCAAUCCUCCACUUAUGCGAAUCCCUGCUGGUAAUUGGUACUGUCCUCUAUGUACUCCUAGUCAACCCAUGGAAGAUGAUGGUACACAAAUUCCUCAAUUGGUUAGCAAGGGGAUGAAAAAGACCAGUCAUGGAGAGUUCAUCCAUGCAUUCAUAGAGGAACUUGGUGAUCUGAAUACAACCAUGGGAGUGAACGAUUACUGGGACUACAGCACAAAGGAGGUUAGUCCCUGUCUUGCUAACAUUAGUUGAAAUGAAGUAUAUGUCCCAACAAAUUUCUGUCAUAGUUUUUUCUCAAGUUUCUACUUUCAGUUCCCUUUUUAAAAACCGCUGACAAUCACUUAGGGAUAGUGCUGCAUGUUUAAUACAAUUGACCCAGAAAAAUAGUUUAGUCCCUGAAAAAUCAAAUUUCUUAGAAGAGUUAAUUUAAAAUUCUAACAAUCAAUACAACGAUUACUGCAUUUAUGAGAACUUGGUUUCUAUUGAUGAUUAUAAGAAAAUUUGAGUCUCCCUUGUCUGUAACUAUUGGUCCCUAUUUCACUCCUAGAAUAUAAUGAGAAAUUCCAUGGUAGUUAACCUUAUUACAUCUGUUGGUUUUGUUUUGUAUGGCGUAGAGAGUCCAGCUUCUGAAAUUAUUGACUGAAGAAGUCGCGAGCUACAGCACCAUCAGGCCCCACCUUGACCAAUGUACCAUAAUCUCUGCGGAUCUGCAGCAGAACGUACGAUCAGUUUCUGUAGAACUGGGAGAGUUGAAGUGCAGAGAAAAAAUCCUAGCAAACAAGGAGGCAAAAGCAAAUACCAAUAUGUUCAACGGUUUUGGCUGGCCUAGAGCAGGUGGGGAGACUAACUGGCCUGCAUCUUUUGUGAAAAUGAUGGGAUGCAAUGGAAGCACUUCAUAUUCAUCUGACUAUUCGGAGAAUGUUGCCCUGAGGCACGGAAUGGACACAU
Molecule: long non-coding RNA, 1038 nt
Filed under: Linum usitatissimum (flax)
Lineage: Eukaryota; Viridiplantae; Streptophyta; Magnoliopsida; Malpighiales; Linaceae
Description: long non-coding RNA (LUSI_LNC005791)
Source: RNAcentral